GUGCUUGCUUUGGCAGCACAUAUACUGAAAUUGAAAUGAUACAGAGAAGAUCAGCAUGGCCCCUGUGCAAGGAUGACAUGCAAAUUCAUGAAGCAUUCCAUAUUUUC
Molecule: small nuclear RNA, 107 nt
Organism: Callithrix jacchus (white-tufted-ear marmoset)
Lineage: Eukaryota; Metazoa; Chordata; Mammalia; Primates; Cebidae
Source: Ensembl